AGGUCUGCAUGCAGGGUUCCCCCUGAGAACUGGCCUCCGGGGACCUGACAGCCAGAGCCCGCAGCUGGGCUUUUCCCUCUCCACUGAUGACUCCCAGUUUGUAGAGUUUUGCUGGGAAGCUUCCCCAGCCAGGGUGAGUUCCCCCUCCAGCUCCAUAGGUGAGACCAGUCACCACAUGGUCAGCUCUGCUCUGGCUGCUGGUCCAGGGCUGCUGCCUGCUGUGAGUGUCUGGGCGCUGGGCUAGGAGACGACCAUUUGGAUUUUAGUGUACUUGUGUAAUCUGCACCUUGACCCCUGCACCCCUUUGUGGGGAGGGGAAAUCCUGGGACCAGAAGCAGCCUGACUCCUGCCUGAAGAGGAUCUCUGCCUGAAGAGAUCAGCCCCUGUGUAGUGACAGAGGAGUCCAGAGUCAUUUCUGAACCUAAGGAUCAAUCAUGGAGUUUAUCAUUGCUGAAAAUGCUGAAUAGCGUCAGGCCUAGAGCCUGCCUGGCCACGCCUCCGCCUAGGAGUGGAGGGAUGUCGCCACUUCCGGGAAGGCCUGGAACCAGGUAUUACUUUGUUUUAAGGAGGUCAAACAUCAGCCCAACACAAGGCAGAUGCAAUUUGAGACUUAUCGACGCCUACUGAUAUAACUUCUUUAUGAUCUUUUCUAGGGCAGAAGAACCAGAGAUGUUGACAACAAAAGAGGAAGUAAAGGAUCAGAGAAAGCCAGGCCAGUAGAGGGAAAAGAAAAAAAUGCAUGUCUUAACAACUUUGAUGCUGUAUUAUUGCCUUAACACUGCACUUCAAACCAAACAGACGCUUCCAGUACAACAAGAACCAAGAAUAGUCAAGGCAAAUCAAAAUUUUAUGUUGGAACUAAGCUCAAACUUGUCUGUUGUGCAGGAUGCAAUUAUAACAGUGAUCUCGGCUCAAGAACGGAUAAAACCAGAUUAAGAUGUGAAAGAUCAACGCUUUUCAACUGAAAUUUUCUUCAAAUGGAAUUAUCAGCCAGCACAAGGACAAUUUAUAAUUACGACUUGGGUUAAAAUAUUGUUUUCAGCAUGAACUAAUAGUACAACUUUGAAAAUACAUAAAGGUACAAAGUCAUACAUCAGGUCUGUAUAGAUUGGGGUAUGGUUAGCGUUGAAGGAUAAGUGAAAGUUUGUAUUGUGGAAAGGAUUUUCCACUGGAGAUACAAAAACAAAGAAAUUUAGUUAGUCAAAUACUUCUUCCAACCACUCAUAACAAAUCUUAUCAAAAGGUAAAAAAGUAAUAGAUAAGAAACUUGUUCUUAAAUACAACAUAAAAGGUAAUGAACACAUGCCUUAUGUAGAUAAGGGAGAGAUGUUUUUCCCCUAAUUAAGAAAUCCAGGGGGGAGGAUAUAAAACAUAUUACAAGUGAAGGUAAAUCUUCAUCAAUAAGUGAUGGAAUCCCAUAUGGAUUAUGGAAAAACAAAACCAAAUGUCAAAGCUCAGUAAAAACUGAAGCAUCGACCAGAUACAUAUAUAUAACCUAAAUUAUAAAGGAGAAUAUGAAGCUUGUAGCCAAAUUAAGUCUUCGGGUAUUGUAAAAGUUAUUAAUAAAUAUUUUAAAGUAAAGGUACAAGCCACAGUAAUGGAAAAGACCAUUAUUCACAGAACCUUGUGAAGUGUUCAGUUCGCAAGAAGGCCCUGUUAGUGGUCUCACAGCUACGUCUAUACCAGGGGUAUUAAUUAAUCAAGUUCAGUUUAUUCAUAUCCCUGUUGUAUGAAAUUUAUCUAAAUUGGUAAAUAAGUGAAUUUAGUUAUUGUAAAGAUAUUAAGGUUGCAACUUUCUUUUCAGUACUUCUCAUUGAUAAAGGUUAGUUUUGAACAGUAUCACAGGUUUAUUAAUUCAGAGGUGCUAAUUUGAAAUAAGGUUAAUGUUAAAAGAAUCAUAAGGCAUAUCAAUUAUGUGAUUAAAAAAAGCUAAAAAAGUAAUCAACCCCAUGUUAAAGGAAUUAAAGGUUUAGCAAAAUAAAAAAAAAUUAUUUAUGGUGUAUAAUAUGCAGGAAAUAACCAAAUUGUUUAAUGAAACUCAAAAUAAGAUUGAUCAAUUGAUAAAAUAUAAUAAUGAUCAGGGAAAAAUCAUUAACUUGGAAAAGAAAUUAUUUGUUCAUUAUAUAGUGAAUAUGUAAUAGACACUAUUAAUAAUACCUAUUAAUUCUUGGAACUAAGAAAAGUACCCAAAUUAAUCAGAGAUCAACAAAUUUUGAAUUGGUAUUGUCCACAUUGUAUUCAAAACAUGGAGAAGAGAAAGUCGAAUGCCAAACCAAAUAUAUUUAAAGAAAACAAAACAAAUCUUUUGGUUCAAAUAGAAACUUGGGAUCUGUGAAACCACAUCCAAAUUAUGACACAUUAUUUAAAUGAAACCUGUGACAUUUUAUGAUCCAUAUGCCUCGUUCACAGUAUCAUUGGUCGUAUUCGAUCCAGAUAAGGAUGUAUGUGAUCAACUGGCUUUCCAUUCCGUAGGCCACCUAGAAGAUGAUAUCUAUAAGAAACAAAUGCAAAUACCUCCACUGGUGGUGUAUCACCAAAAUGCCCAGACAUGGAAAGUCCCAUGGAUUGCUUCCUGCUCUCAAAAGGUGCAUCAGUGGAUCUGUAGGUAUAAUGUGUUUGAUGUAACAACUCCACUGUGUCACCAGCUGGAAAGGUACCAACGCAAUGCACACUGGUAUCAUGCGCAGUGCAACUAACCAAAUAGAAAUCUUUUACGAAAUGUGUGGCCUAUAGCAAAAAGGAAUAAUAUUGUGUAGUAACUAAAUCACAAGAAAUUCUAUUAUGGUCAUCUUGGAUGUAUGGUAACAAAUCCAAAUUUUUGUGUUACGCAACAAGUACCCACAGUUAUUGGGCACACGACAAUAUCUCCAAUGUUUUCGAAAAUGAAACGGUUAUUCUUAGCAACCCAGAUCACCGGGAUCUCAUUGAACGGAGCACUCCAGUGUUUCAUGCAUAUAAACCAUUAAACUUUACAGCUAAAACAAUCGUUAAAGAAAAAAAAUGUGCAAUUAAUUAAAAUUAGGAAUAACAUAAAUAAGACAAACCAAGCACUGUCUGAAAUUUUUGACAAUAGCAGCUCAUAAGGUAUUCAUUGUAUCAAGAGAGAUGAAAAUUGGAUGGAAAAAAAGGAUUAUUGUCUAUAGUAUUGUUACUAUGUGUACUAUUAUAUUAAUCAUGGCUGGAUACUGUCAUGUAAUAUGUAUGUGACAGGGCUCUUAUUGUCCAAUCAUCAAUUAUAAUGAGAUAACACUCACCCUGUCGGGGGGAGGGGGGAGGGAAGAAAUGUAGGCAAUGAUUUUAGUUUAUUAUCCAUUUAUUGUGUGAUGUUAUGAUUAAUCAAUGUUAUAUUACAUAUAUUCAUUGGAAAUUAAUUUGUAGGAUUAUAAAAGUAUAAAAUCGAUCAGUAUUUAGAGGAACCAAGUAAGUAAGUAAGUAAGACAGACAAACUGAAACACAAGAACCUGUAGGUUGAGGCCUGCAAGACUUUAGCUUAACCAUUUUGGGCCUUGGAGACAAGAAAUGAUGACUCAGGCCAAUGACCGAGAAAUAACGUAAUGCCCUAAGGUUAUGGGAAAAGGGGCACCAAGUGGUAACAUUGUGCAAAAUUACCCAGAAGGUUAAUAUUAGAUCAUAAAAAUACUAUAAAGGCGCAUCAGUCUCAAACGUGUGUCUUAACCAUGGGAUUCAGGUUGUGAGUCGAUGCUAAUGAGAACAAAGGGAACCUACCCAGCCUAUAGAAAAUUGGGGUCCCUUAAGUUUCCAGGGGACACAGACCAAUAAGAGAAAAGAUCGUUGACACUUUUAUGGACAUGCGCAGAAUGUAGGUAUAGACAGAAUCACAUUAUAAAAAGGGGAUGCCCCGAACGGGAAAAUUAAGCUCCCUCUGGGAGGCUCCAGCAGGAACCAUCCCUCUACUGAUGACUAAGCCAUGAGAGACCCAUCAGACCCUGCAGGCUUGGCUAAACUUGCGAGUUACAGCUCAAUAAAGGAGACCCGGGCGCACUAGCUCACUACCUGGCCACACUGGCGAGGCACGUAGAGUGCUCUGACUCCGCGGCUACAGCGCUGCUGAGGUGGUACUCCACCUCGGCGAGUGGAAUAAU
Long non-coding RNA from Chelonia mydas (Green sea turtle), 4103 nucleotides. RefSeq lists it as uncharacterized. The transcript has 4 exons. Lineage: Eukaryota; Metazoa; Chordata; Testudines; Cheloniidae. The record is from RefSeq and is a predicted model, not a curated record.